RNAcentral lists this ribosomal RNA (906 nucleotides) under Kazachstania africana. RNAcentral describes it as "LSU rRNA". It matches the Rfam family "Eukaryotic large subunit ribosomal RNA", at positions 38 to 962 of the family's 3401-position model. The record is from RNAcentral. Lineage: Eukaryota; Fungi; Ascomycota; Saccharomycetes; Saccharomycetales; Saccharomycetaceae.
GCAUAUCAAUAAGCGGAGGAAAAGAAACCAACCGGGAUUGCCUUAGUAACGGCGAGUGAAGCGGCAAAAGCUCAAAUUUGAAAUCUAGUACCUUCGGUGCUCGAGUUGUAAUUUGUAGAGGGAUACUUUGGGACCGUUCCUUGUCUAUGUUCCUUGGAACAGGACGUCAUAGAGGGUGAGAAUCCCGUGUGGCGAGGAGUGCGGUUCUUUGUAAAGUUCUCUCGAAGAGUCGAGUUGUUUGGGAAUGCAGCUCUAAGUGGGUGGUAAAUUCCAUCUAAAGCUAAAUAUUGGCGAGAGACCGAUAGCGAACAAGUACAGUGAUGGAAAGAUGAAAAGAACUUUGAAAAGAGAGUGAAAAAGUACGUGAAAUUGUUGAAAGGGAAGGGCAUUUGAUCAGACAUGGUGUUUUGCGCCCUCUGCUCCUUGUGGGUAGGGGAAUCUCGCAGCUCACUGGGCCAACAUCAGUUUUGGUGGCAGGAUAAAUCCAUAGGAAUGUAGCUUGCUUGCAAGUAUUAUAGCCUGUGGGAAUACUGCCAACUGGGACUGAGGACUGCGACUUUGUCAAGGAUGUUGGCAUAAUGGUUAAAUGCCGCCCGUCUUGAAACACGGACCAAGGAGUCUAACGUCUAUGCGAGUGUUUGGGUGUAAAACCCGUACGCGUAAUGAAAGUGAACGUAGGUUGGGGCCUCUUUAGAGGUGCACAAUCGACCGAUCCUGAUGUUUUCAGAUGGAUUUGAGUAAGAGCAUAGCUGUUGGGACCCGAAAGAUGGUGAACUAUGCCUGAAUAGGGUGAAGCCAGAGGAAACUCUGGUGGAGGCUCGUAGCGGUUCUGACGUGCAAAUCGAUCGUCGAAUUUGGGUAUAGGGGCGAAAGACUAAUCGAACCAUCUAGUAGCUGGUUCCUGCC